AUGCAGUCGAGCGGUAGAUAAAAGCUUGCUUUUAUCUAUAGCGGCGGACGGGUGAGUAACACGUGGGCAACCUGCCUCAAAGUGGGGGAUAGCCUUCCGAAAGGAAGAUUAAUACCGCAUAAUAUCAUGGAGUCACAUGACACUAUGAUUAAAGGAGUAAUCCGCUUUGAGAUGGGCCCGCGGCGCAUUAACUAGUUGGUGAGGUAACGGCUCACCAAGGCGACGAUGCGUAGCCGACCUGAGAGGGUGAUCGGCCACAUUGGAACUGAGAUACGGUCCAGACUCCUACGGGAGGCAGCAGUGGGGAAUAUUGCGCAAUGGGGGAAACCCUGACGCAGCAACGCCGCGUGGGUGAUGAAGGUCUUCGGAUUGUAAAGCCCUGUCUUUGGGGACGAUAAUGACGGUACCCAAGGAGGAAGCCACGGCUAACUACGUGCCAGCAGCCGCGGUAAUACGUAGGUGGCAAGCGUUGUCCGGAUUUACUGGGCGUAAAGGGUGCGUAGGUGGAUAUUUAAGUCAGAUGUGAAAUCCCCGGGCUUAACCUGGGAAGUGCAUUUGAAACUGGAUAUCUUGAGUGCAGGAGAGGUAAGUGGAAUUCCUAGUGUAGCGGUGAAAUGCGUAGAGAUUAGGAAGAACACCGGUGGCGAAGGCGACUUACUGGACUGUAACUGACACUGAGGCACGAAAGCGUGGGUAGCAAACAGGAUUAGAUACCCUGGUAGUCCACGCUGUAAACGAUGAGUACUAGGUGUAGGGGGUAUCGAUCCCUUCUGUGCCGCAGUUAACACAAUAAGUACUCCGCCUGGGAAGUACGAUCGCAAGAUUAAAACUCAAAGGAAUUGACGGGGGCCCGCACAAGCAGCGGAGCAUGUGGUUUAAUUCGAAGCAACGCGAAAAUCCUUACCUGGACUUGACAUCCCCUGAAUAGCCGAGAGAUUGGUGAAGCCCUUCGGGCAGGAGACAGGUGGCUGCAUGGUUGUCGUCAGCUCGUGUCUUGAGAUGUUAGGUUACGUCC
RNAcentral lists this ribosomal RNA (1015 nucleotides) under uncultured bacterium. Its description in RNAcentral is "bacterial SSU rRNA". It matches the Rfam family "Bacterial small subunit ribosomal RNA", at positions 55 to 1087 of the family's 1533-position model. The record is from RNAcentral.